This 300-nucleotide ribosomal RNA is filed under the name Triticum aestivum (bread wheat). RNAcentral's name for it is "partial small subunit ribosomal RNA". Lineage: Eukaryota; Viridiplantae; Streptophyta; Magnoliopsida; Poales; Poaceae. The record is from RNAcentral.
AUGUAUUGCAGCACCACGACCGCCAGUGAGCGUUGCAUUGCAACGCCGGCGAGCUGCAUUGCAGCUCCGUGCCACGAAUGCCGGCGAGCGCUCUAUUGCAGCGUCGGAAGGGAGCUCCGGCGAGCCUCCAUUGCAUCGCCGAGAAGAAGCGCCGACAAGCGCUCCAUUGCAGUGCGGAUAAGCUCUUCAUUUGAAGUGCCAAGAAGAAGCACCGACGAGCUCUCCAUUGCAGCCACAGAUGCACCGCGGAAGUGGCCGCACACCAUCACAGCAAGACAUAGCAGCAAUUUGUCGCCUUAG